This is a long non-coding RNA of Pipistrellus kuhlii (Kuhl's pipistrelle), 499 nucleotides long. RefSeq lists it as uncharacterized. The record is from RefSeq and is a predicted model, not a curated record. The transcript has 3 exons. NCBI's taxonomy places the organism in Eukaryota, Metazoa, Chordata, Mammalia, Chiroptera, Vespertilionidae.
GAAUCCAAAGCUACAGACAAAGCAUUUGGCCCUGUGAACACUGUGUGAUCCUCUGCCCUGUGAAAGAUUUCUCGGAAACUUGGGUCAGAAGUUAAGGGCCUUCAUGUAGUGGAAAAUUGGGGUCCUCCAGAUAACAAGAAGCAGCGAUGUUACAGGACAUACGCUUUUACGCUUUAUUGGCCACUGUUAUCCCCGGACAGAGCACGGGAGCUGAGCAAACAGUCCAGACCCCAAUAUGAAAACCCACCAGCUGUCAAUCGCAUGAAGCCUGGAUUUGAUUGGAGUGCCAUUUUUCUGCCCUUUCCUCUGUGCUCACAGAGAAAGCAACAGCUCUUAAGUCCCUAGGAGAUGCUGCUUGAUUUAAGCCCUGUGAAAUUCUAACCGAAAGGUAAUAGAAAGGAGAAACCAAGCUUAUCAAAUUUUCCUUAGGAGCAUUGGUCUGUUUCACCUGUGGUAAUUGGCUGAGUUCAGGCUUGCACUCUGACAGGCUACAGGAAGU